UACGUAGGGGGCAAGCGUUGUCCGGAAUCAUUGGGCGUAAAGCGCGUGUAGGCGGUCCGGUAAGUCGGCUGUGAAAGUCCAGGGCUCAACCCUGGGAUGCCGGUCGAUACUGCCGGACUAGAGUUCGGAAGAGGCGAGUGGAAUUCCCGGUGUAGCGGUGGAAUGCGCAGAUAUCGGGAGGAACACCAAUGGCGAAGGCAGCUCGCUGGGACGUUACUGACGCUGAGACGCGAAAGCGUGGGGAGCAAACAGG
Molecule: ribosomal RNA, 253 nt
Filed under: uncultured bacterium
Lineage: Bacteria
Description: partial 16S ribosomal RNA
Rfam family: Bacterial small subunit ribosomal RNA
Source: RNAcentral